Molecule: long non-coding RNA, 831 nt
Organism: Dreissena polymorpha
Lineage: Eukaryota; Metazoa; Mollusca; Bivalvia; Myida; Dreissenidae
Exons: 2
Source: RefSeq, a predicted model, not a curated record
UUUUGAUAUUUGCAUAUGAUACCAUCAUAUCCAUUUUCUUAAUUUGCAAUUAAAUAAUAAAAUGCCAAACAUGACCUGUGUUACAUAAACUGUCAACAAAAUAACAAGACAAUACCUAAAAACACCCUUAUUUCACACCACUAACAAUAAACAGAUAACAAUCUGUCAGGCAUUCAGAGCUAAACAGGGUACUGAUUAUCUAGGGGUAGAUAAGGCUACUGAUGGGGUUUGCCUAGAGAUAAGGCUGUGUGGAAUAAGAUAUAAGGCUUUUGAUUGGCUAUUGCACUGAGGAAGUUAUCUUUUUGAAAACAACAACUUUUGAAAAAUAAGCUGGUGUCAGCAAUUGAAUAUUGAGCUAAAUUUAAUUCAGCAACAUUAAUAUAAUGAAGUGAAAGACUUAUAAUGGUAGUGUAAAAUGUCUUGAAAUUCUGUCAGCAUGAAGUAUUGUGUGAUGAAAACAAUGUGUUUUUUACUGCAAUGUGGAAAUCAAUAAUAAGUUGGUUGGAAAGGAGGUUGAACUGCCUGUUGUUGUUUUUGGAAUACUGAAGAACAGUUUUAACAGGUUUGUAUUGUCAUUUCUUCACCCCUUUUUUUAUUUAGUUUAUUGAAUUAAUUAUGAUCAUUAUCAUAUUUAUGUAUUGUCACUGGGAAAUGUAAAUGGAUAAGUUAUUGUAUUGCAAUUUAAAGGAUAAACAACACAUUUUGAAGCAAAAAUAGAUAAACUUACACAUGAAAAAGUGUAAAUGUUGUGUACAGUGAAUAAUUAUGGUUGUGUUUCAUGGUUAUUGUCAUCUAAAAUUUUAUUUAUAUCUAUUUCUGGUUAUUACUGAA